CGCAGCGCCCCGCGGGGGACCCCUGCAGCCGCGGCCCCGCACUCACCCGCAGUUGGCGCUAGGCGUCGGGGGUCGAGGGCGCCCCACCACACUCGCGGCGAGGUCGCCACCAGGCACCUGCCGCGUCCGGCCCCAGAGCCUUGCACGGAGGGGUGGCCUGGGCCUCUCUUCAGCUCCCAGGGAGUCGGACUGGCCUUGCGCACAGUUAUCGCCUGAGGGUACAGGAGGGCCCUCCACCAGCCCGGAAGUGGGAAAGGACUUCCUGGAGCCCGGCUGAGCCAUGACCUGCAGGGUUGUGAGGUGCUUGAUCUGAGACAGGAAAGGCAAGUGGCUCAGUGUAACCGAGAAGAAGCGGACGGGGACCAGAUCAAGCUCUUAACAAAAGCAAAACGGCCAUCAUCUACGGAGCGUACAGUUGAAAGCAGGGACUGCUCAUAAUUGCUUCAAACUAGCCUCACACCUAGCCUACCAGAUUUUUUUGAAAGUCCCUUAUAUUGACUGAAGGGCAGAUGAAGACAUUCCAAAGAAAAUCCUGGCUGCUUCACAGCUGAGCUUCUCACAGUUGUACCAAGGCUGGCUGACAACCAUAGUCUUAUAGUCCCAGGCUAUCGCUAAUAGCAUGCUGCCUGGAAAAUAAUACAUGACGAUUCUGAGCCGAGGCAAGCCGGUUCAGCACCUCCACCAUCAAGAGACACAAUUAUCUCUGAAUCGAGUUACAGCAUCUUUGUUCACAUGGUAUCUUUAGCCCCUUAAAUCCAAUUACCGGGAUGAUGUUCUAUUGUUUUAUGUGUUCCUUCCCUAGAGGUCAAGAAUAUUAUUGUUGUGAGGUCAGCAACAGACAAGAUAUCUAGCACUUUCUCUUCCUUGUUGAAACUUCUAUGACCAUAGAAAAUGACUGUCUUGUCAAAUAUUCACAGACCUGCAUAUAUUCAUCUUUUACAUCUAGCCAGGUAGUGAGACAGUAAAAUAUAUCCAUGAUAAGUUCGUUUCAAUGAUAUAAGGUGAAAUGUAAGGGCAAUUUCCCCCCUAAUUUUUUUUUUAAUAUGGAAAAUUUUCAGUAUUCAAAAAAGAGAGAGAAAAGAGCAGUACAAUGUGCCCUGGUGUUCCCAUCACCCAGCGUGAACAAUUAUUAACGCUCGGCCGGUCCUGUUUCACCCACACCCACCCACUUCCUCCCACAUGUUUUGUUCCACAGAAAGCUCUAGACUUCGUAUCAUUUCACCUGUAAAUAUUUCAGUAUGUAUCUCGAAAAGAUAAGGAUUCUUUGGGGGCCAGGAGUUUGAUCAAGCAUUUCCUGAGAAGGGUUUGUGAGGAACAUUUGCCAAGAACUGGCUCCGAUGUUUUGCUAAAAGUUGCAUUUCUCCUGGGAGAAGGAGAGGAACAAGAUCAGAGGCGAUGGGAGGUUGACAGAAGAGCUGGCAGGUGAGGGGUGAAGGGCCUUGGUAACACCAGCGCCCCCUAGGGGAAGCCAGGCCUGUAUGAAAUCCAGGACUUUGGGUCUGGGACCAGGCUCUUUGUGGUUGGCUUUCUCAGUGUUCGCUGAAUUUCUCGGUGCUUUUUGCUGAGUCUGAGAUGGUGUUUUAAUGGCGGAAACUCAGCAGAGGUGGGGACCUGGUAACUACCUUUUGUGCCUGCUUGUGAGCAGCGUCUUUUCUCUAGGGCCAGCUCAUUUUCGUGGGGAGCAGUAACAAGUCUAUUCAGGGAGAGUAGCUGUAGGUCUCCUAGGGUGGAGUGUGCACAGGGCUGUAUCCCACAGUACUUGGCACAGCACUCAGCCCACAGUAGGUGCUCAGAAAAUGCUUGUUGCAGGAAGAAAGGGAGGGAGGAAGGGAAAGCAACAAGGAGUAAAUAAUAGAAUGCCCGAGUGUUAGAAAUGGUCAAAUGUAACAGUAAACAAGACCGCAAGUAGGGGCCAGGAGUGUGGCACAGCUGCUUAGGCAGCUACCUGUGGUGCCGGCAUCCCAUAUGGGCACCAGUUUGAGUCCCAGCUGCUCCACUUCCCAUCCAACUCCCUGCUAAUGUGCCUGGAAAGCAGUGGAAGAUGUCCCAGGUGCUGGGGCCCCUACACCCAUGUGGGACACCCAGAUGGAGGUCCACGCUCCUGGCUUCGGCCUGAUGCAUUCUGGGCCACUGUGGCCAUUUGGGGAGUGAACCAGGAAAUGGAAAAUCUCCCUCUCUCCCUCUCUCUCUCCCCCUCUCUCCCUCUCUCUCUCCCCCUCUCUCCCUCUCUCUCCC
Molecule: non-coding RNA, 2235 nt
Organism: Oryctolagus cuniculus (rabbit)
Lineage: Eukaryota; Metazoa; Chordata; Mammalia; Lagomorpha; Leporidae
Source: RefSeq, a predicted model, not a curated record